AUGAGGCUUUCUGAAUUCAUGGCUUCUUCUUUAAUCUUUUUACUCUUAUUGUUAACUGUCUCGGCUGAACAAUGUGGUAGGCAGGCAGGAGGUGGAGGUGCGCGUUGUGCUGCGGGACUCUGUUGCAGUAAUUUUGGCUGGUGUGGUUACACUGAUGCCCAUUGUGCUCCCAGCAAUUGCCAGAGCCAGUGUCCUUCUCCGAAACCACCUACACCUGGCCCCGGUCCUCCUGUUGGAGACAUAGGCGCCGUCAUCUCACAUUCCAUGUUUGAUCAGAUGCUUAAGCAUCGCAACGAAAAUUCUUGCCAAGGAAAGAAUAAUUUCUAUAGUUACAAUGCAUUCAUCAAUGCUGCCAGGUCUUUUCGUGGCUUUGACACUACUGGUUAUACCACCACCCGAAAAAGGGAAAUCGCUGCUUUCUUUGCCCAAACCUCCCAUGAAACUACUGGAGGAUGGCCUUCAGCACCAGAUGGACCAUACGCAUGGGGUUACUGUUUCCUUAGAGAACUAGGUAGCCGGGCACCUACUGUAGACCAAGUGGUCAAUGGCCUUGUGCUCGUGGAAGGAAAUAUUUCGGACGAGGCCCCAUCCAAAUUUCAUACAACUACAACUAUGGGCCAUGUGGAAGAGCCAUUGGAGUGGACCUUUUAAACAACCCUGAUUUAGUAGCCACAGAUCCAGUUAUCUCAUUCAAAUCAGCUAUCUGGUUCUGGAUGACCCCUCAAUCACCAAAGCCUUCUUGCCACAAUGUCAUCACCGGAAGAUGGCAACCAUCUGGUGCUGACAGAGCAGCCAAUCGCCUCCCUGGAUUCGGUGUCAUCACAAACAUCAUCAAUGGUGGCCUAGAAUGUGGUCGUGGCAGUGACAGCAGGGUCCAGAAUCGAAUUGGGUUCUACAGGAGAUAUUGCAAAAUUCUUGGAGUUAGCCCAGGCUACAAUCUUGAUUGUGGCAACCAAAGGUCUUUUGGAAAUGGACUCUUAGUCGAUUCUAUGUAACAACUUUACCAUCUGUUUGUUGUAGUCUCUUGCAUCAACGCAGGACCCAGCUAUGAAUAAAUUUACUUAUGUAAUUGUGUUGUAAUCGUUUUUCAUUUUAAUAAACAAAGACUUUGUCCACGA
Solanum stenotomum is the source of this 1118-nucleotide RNA transcript. It is a transcript of the gene named endochitinase 4-like, with no coding region annotated. NCBI's taxonomy places the organism in Eukaryota, Viridiplantae, Streptophyta, Magnoliopsida, Solanales, Solanaceae. The transcript has 3 exons. The record is from RefSeq and is a predicted model, not a curated record.